Athalia rosae (coleseed sawfly) is the source of this 2247-nucleotide long non-coding RNA. RefSeq lists it as uncharacterized. The transcript has 2 exons. The record is from RefSeq and is a predicted model, not a curated record. NCBI's taxonomy places the organism in Eukaryota, Metazoa, Arthropoda, Insecta, Hymenoptera, Athaliidae.
AACUAAAUUCAGGAUUGUCAAGAAUACUACAAUGUCCAUUUUAUUUCAAUAAUUACAUUGAACAAAUAUGAGCUCAGCAUGGCCGCAUGUGGUUAUUCUUGGAUUCAGUUGCGAUUCAUUCGAUUUUCUGUUGUGUGUACAGGAUUCCAUGGAACUAAAAUGAACGCGCAGGUGGAUUGACCUCGGUUGACCUUCAGAUGAUAUUCAUCUGUCCAUCGAGUACAAUAUCAAUCAACUAAUCUAACAUCUAUCCGAGAGUUUCAAGAAAACAAAGCCCCCUUCACAGAUUGAUGAUUUGAAAUAAUAAAAUCAUCAAAACGAGGCAAGUUUUUCUGAAGAGGCUAGUGUCGCGUAGCAGAAGAUACCUGGACGUUAAGGUUAAGUCAGGAUUAUCAAAUCUGGAUCUUGUAAGCUUACCUGCUGUGCUGCGGCCCAUUUUGACGUAGAGAAGGAACGCCUAGCUAUUCCACUUAGAGCUGACUAAAAAUGAAAGCACAAUUCAAGACAAAGUAUUAAUAAUACCUAGGCUUUGUACGUGAAAGUGAAAAUCUGGCAGAUUUAUUACCUUGAGCAUGGUGUGAGCGGUAGAGAUUGAAAUGGACAGAGACGAAUGAGAGACUGAUUAUAACUUAAGAAAUAUGAAGCUACCCGACGAAUGAAGCCUCUCUUGCCUUCAAUCAGCCUUGCAACGUUUGCUCGAUGUCUGGUGAUCUUGGAUGGCAAUUUUAAUUGACGUAUUCCAAAGAGCUGAGAGACGAGAGAGUCAAGGACGACGAACAGCAGACAACGUAUGACGUUCUUGGACAGCCCCCAGGGCUGUGGUUCGGCCUGGGAUGGUAAGAUGCCGACACGGGAACCAAAAGCAAUGUAAAGGUUCGUUGGUAGUACGUUGGUACGUACGACGUGCGUACGACGUCUGGGAAAUGAAGGAAAACGAAUUUGAGGGGUUGGAUAUUUCGAAUUUGUGUUUUUUAUAUCGGGCUAGAGAACGAGCGAAAGGUGACUGAUUAUGAAUACGUGAGGUUUACGUGAAAGUAACCAGAAAGACUCGUUUUAGUUUUAGAAGUGAUUUUUUUCAGAUAUUUGCAGGUAUCGACGCUGAAGAUGACGUCUCAACCAACGAAUUCAGACUUGAAUUCGUUGGUCUCAACGAAACUUUAUUUCAAAAUUAUGGUUUGUAUACUUCUAAGUUUAUAUUUCUUCAUUUAUAUGUAUAUUCUUUUGAAUUUACGCUCUACCUUGAGCCAGAGAUGCGCAGGGGUUUAGUACGUUGAAGUUCGGGAAUAAUUCAACCAUGCUGUAAUGAAAUGAAACUUCUAUUUUAUCUGGCGAUAAACAAGUCACACUGUUCAAACGGAAGUCUAUCAUGUAGACUUUGUUUUCUUAGCCGAGUUAUACAAAUUGUCUUGCCUCGAAUUUUCAGUCAACGCUUGCCUCUGGUGUGUGUGGGUCCAAUAGGUCUUAUGUUCGUUUCUUUUGGGUGAAAUAGGUUAUAAAAAUGAGAAAUGUACUAAACAGUACGUGAUUUUUGUGAAAUAGUGAAGUGAAUUCCUUUUUCUUGUUUUUCAUACUUCUGUGUGAAACAUUUCGAAAAAUAAGUGCCUCACUCUUUUCACCUCGGGCUGCACCUAUGGUAGGGGUAUGAGUAUAUCUUGAACCUUAUUUUUUUUGCCAAAGAAGAGAAUAUCACUACUGAUACUCAAGUGAAAUGGAUUUUCAUAAUGUUUAUUUACAUAAAUUUAACACUUUCUGACAUAUUACGAACUUUCUCGAGUAAUCCAAAUUUUCCUAACAAAACCUUAUUACUUGGCUAUCAAAUACCAUACUUAUGUAAUACGACAUAAUAUAUGUAUAUAGAUACAUAUAUGAUAGGCAUAUAAAUAUACAUAUACAUAUCAAGAUUUAAAUCCGUGCUAUAAUAUAAGCGAUGCGAGAAUAGAAAUGACUUUUAUACGUGAUGUACGACAUAUAUGGGACAUUCGACGUGAAAAUAAUCAGUCAGAUCAUAUAUUCCUUCAAUUUUUAAUACAGAUACUCCGUGGGGAAUGUCCCAUAUACCUAUUUAUAUCUCAUAUAAUUAUACAUAUACAUUCAAGUAUGUGUAUAGUUAACAAUUAAUUACCUAUGUAUUCGUACAAUAGAUCAUAAUUAUGCCUACGUAAUAUAAAUACAAGGAAGUGAAACCAGAGAAAAGUUGUUUUAUUUAUUUUUUUACUUUUUUUAAGCUUUUUUUUUUGUUUUUCUUUU